CCUAUGUGUAGCAGCCUGGGUCAUCUUGGGCUCUUUGGUGCCGGUCGAUCUCCCCGCUGUCUCUGGACUGUCUGUCAGCCGUUGUGGACACCCCUCUUCUCUCAUGGACCCGUAGUAAGCCAUAGGACAAAGGCUGAGGGGUUGGCAUGGGCAUUGCCCAGGUACAGUGAGUGUAAAUGGACAGAGUGGCCUUGGCCUGAGAAGCACAUGGAUUCCAGUAAAGAGAUGGGAGUCACACCAUCUGUAAGCCCUGAGGUUAGUGAAGGUGUGAAGAAUUUGAGCAGGGUGCUGGUGGGUACUUACUGUGUCCCCAAGACCAACUGGAACAGUGAGGCUAUCUGUCUAGCUAUUAUCUCUCUUGUUUCUACUCCUGAAAAAAAAAAAGCCCAUUAGGGUCCUACUGCCCAAAUUUACAUAGAGUCAACACAAGUGGCUCCAGGGGUAGACUAUGUUGGACAUUGAAAUCAGCUAUCCAGAG
Molecule: long non-coding RNA, 478 nt
Filed under: Heterocephalus glaber (naked mole-rat)
Lineage: Eukaryota; Metazoa; Chordata; Mammalia; Rodentia; Bathyergidae
Description: lncRNA (ENSHGLG00000041154.1)
Source: RNAcentral